UGUGGCAAACCAAGAGCCAUCUGGUAGCACUAGGCUCCCUACUGCCUGUGAGGCGGAGUUGGCAUAUGUGUGUAUAAGCAGGCAUUUGGGAUGGCACGGACCAAGCUGCAAGAUGUCUGGGAAUCCUGGACAAAUGCUCAGUACGUGGACAGACUGACUGUACCUCAUAGCCUUUUUUUGCCAUCACUCCCUGACACAUCUAGGGGCCUGGAGGGGGACAAAUCUCUCCCUCUGGUGUUGCACAGUUUGGUUUGUACAGACAUGAAAAGGAGGGGACAGUCCUUAGUGAGGUCUCCCUUUUCCUGCCUUAGCCACCACGGUGGGGGAUUACAUUCCAAAGGGAGGACCAAAAGUGUUGGUCCUGCACAUCAUUUCUAGGGACUGCCUGCUGCCUCCUUGCAGAUGUUGUGGGAAAGAUGCAGGACUGAGAAGUUUCUGGUUGGAUAAACAGCAACUGAAUCAGCCAGCAGAAAGAAAAACCUUCCUAAAAAGCUGAA
This is a long non-coding RNA of Aquila chrysaetos chrysaetos, 497 nucleotides long. RefSeq lists it as uncharacterized. The record is from RefSeq and is a predicted model, not a curated record. The transcript has 2 exons. NCBI's taxonomy places the organism in Eukaryota, Metazoa, Chordata, Aves, Accipitriformes, Accipitridae.